CGGAGGGUGCAAGCGUUAUCCGGAUUUACUGGGUUUAAAGGGUGCGUAGUGGGUCUGUAAGUCAGUGGUGAAAUCUCCGGGCUUAACCCGGAAACUGCCAUUGAUACUAUAGGUCUUGAAUACUCUGGAGGUAAGCGGAAUAUGUCAUGUAGCGGUGAAAUGCUUAGAUAUGACAUAGAACACCAAUUGCGAAGGCAGCUUACUACGGGGUCAUUGACACUGAGGCACGAAAGCGUGGGGAUCAAACAGGAUUAGAUACCCUGGUAGUCCACGCCCUAAACGAUGGAUACUCGACAUCAGCGAUACACUGUUGGUGUCUGAGCGAAAGCAUUAAGUAUCCCACCUGGGAAGUACGAUCGCAAGAUUG
RNAcentral lists this ribosomal RNA (367 nucleotides) under uncultured organism. RNAcentral describes it as "bacterial SSU rRNA". It matches the Rfam family "Bacterial small subunit ribosomal RNA", at positions 526 to 896 of the family's 1533-position model. The record is from RNAcentral.